AGGGCGGGACACGGACCGCGGCAGCCUGCGGCUCCGAAGCUCGGGGUGUCCGGGGUGCUGGGCCGCGGGGCCGAAGACCCCGAUCUGCAGCCUCUGCGAGGCCUCGUCCUUCACUGUACAGAUGCGAAGCUUUCAAGGACACGUCUGCACCGGCCCAGCGGGGCUUCGCCCCUUUGAGGGCAUAGGAACGGAGUUACCUAACUCUUUGAGACAUGGAGCCCAACUUUCGUCUGAGUGGUUUUCCUUCUGGAAGCUCCCUAAUGCUCCCAGAUCCUCCAGUCUUCCCCACUCUCCAGCCUCAAGGUCAGAGGCCACUCCACACAAUCGUCCUGGCCUUUUUCAGUGUCACCCUCACUCAAGUGGUCACCCCAUGCCACUGAUGACAGGCCCUGCUGCCCGUGGAUUCCACCUGUCCAGUUCCAGAGACUCGUGCUGUUUCUCCCAUGAGGACAAGAACCACAUCUGUAGCUUGGCACUUGGCGCCCAGUAGGUUCUCAAUAAACAUUUGUUGAAUGAAUGCA
Long non-coding RNA from Callorhinus ursinus (northern fur seal), 521 nucleotides. RefSeq lists it as uncharacterized. NCBI's taxonomy places the organism in Eukaryota, Metazoa, Chordata, Mammalia, Carnivora, Otariidae. The record is from RefSeq and is a predicted model, not a curated record.